This 311-nucleotide long non-coding RNA is filed under the name Phasianus colchicus (ring-necked pheasant). RNAcentral's name for it is "lncRNA (ENSPCLG00000004204.1)". Lineage: Eukaryota; Metazoa; Chordata; Aves; Galliformes; Phasianidae. The record is from RNAcentral.
GUUUGAGUGAGGAGCAAAAGGAACCUUAGAAGGAAGAUCUAAAGUUGGUUGUAUGUCUUGGUUUAGCUCUGGCUGAAGAGGAGCAGGAAUACAGAGACAGAACUCAUAAAAGUGGAGGCAGGAGAGCAGUACCUUUGGAGUUGGGUUCGAAUAAAUGCUCAGAAGUGAGAUAGAAAGAAACCAAAGGGAACGUAUCCCUUUCAAAACUUUUUCAAAUGGCUUCACAGUGCUGAGUAUGGUAUGUGAAAUCACUUGCUGUUUGGAGAUUUCUGGAUCCUUACUUGUUAUGUUAAGCUACAAAAUAAAUUUUC